Molecule: long non-coding RNA, 765 nt
Filed under: Nicotiana benthamiana
Lineage: Eukaryota; Viridiplantae; Streptophyta; Magnoliopsida; Solanales; Solanaceae
Description: long non-coding RNA (NBEN_LNC037895)
Source: RNAcentral
UCGAACUGGAGAAGCUAGUGAACCUAAGCCUAAGUCUGUUGAUAAAGGACGGGAUUAAAACAACAAAUGAGGGGAUUGGAACCUAGUAACAACUAGAAAAUCCUCUGCAUAGAAGCAGUCAUCAUCAAAACAACAGAACAAAAAUGGCCGACGAAUUGAAUUGAAUGUUGGUUCCAACUCUAAUGCCUUCGAUGCUCUUGCUAAUGCUGGGGAACAUGAAGUUGAUGCAACAGUUUCAGAGGAUAAGGAGAAGUUUAAUCAGCUGGUAACAAUGCACAACAAAGAUCGAGAUGGGGUAGGCAAUCCAGAAUCGGCUGAAAAUUUGCGUGUUCGACAAAGCAACUCAAUGAAUAAUUUGGGACUGAACUAACGAACAACCAAGCUCAUAUUUCCAAUCUACCAACAUUGUACUAUUCAAACCCUCAAGUUGAACAAAUCAUUAAAAACACUCAAAAAGAAAUGAUGCAGCCCACUUUGACUAAACAUCCAUUGGUCACCUUAAAUACUUCUGUAUUUGAUGUGCUAUCAAAUUCAGUUAAGUCCUAUGGUGAGUUUGAAGGAGAAUCUGGACUCCAUUGGUCACCUUAAAUACUUCUAUAUUUGAUGUGCUAUCAAAUUCAGUUAAGUCAUAUGGUGAGUUUGAAGGAGAAUCUGGACAACAAAUUGUCUCAACUGGGAAUAACAACGACUUGAUCCAAGCAAAGGUUACGGAGAUGGUCAUUAAUUCGAAACUGUGAAAAGACCAACAAGAGUAUGAUGAUGAAG